This 1455-nucleotide ribosomal RNA is filed under the name uncultured bacterium. RNAcentral describes it as "partial 16S ribosomal RNA". It matches the Rfam family "Bacterial small subunit ribosomal RNA". The record is from RNAcentral.
CGCUGGCGGCGGGCUUAACACAUGCAAGUCGUACGAGGUAGCAAUACCUAGUGGCGCACGGGUGCGUAACGCGUAGGCAACCUGCCCUGAAGUGGGGAAUAACUCUCCGAAAGGAGAGCUAAUACCGCAUAUUGAGCUGAGGUGGCAUCACCUUGGCUUGAAAGCUAUAUGCGCUUCAGGAUGGGCCUGCGUUGGAUUAGGUAGUUGGUAGGGUAACGGCCUACCAAGCCGACGAUCCAUAGCUGGUCUGAGAGGAUGAUCAGCCACACUGGCACUGAGACACGGGCCAGACUCCUACGGGAGGCAGCAGUGAGGAAUCUUGCGCAAUGGAGGAAACUCUGACGCAGCCACGCCGCGUGAAGGAUGACACCCCUACGGGGCGUAAACUUCUUUUCUGCGGGAAGAACGCCGGCCUUGGGCCGGGUUGACGGUACCGCAGGAAUAAGCACCGGCUAACUCCGUGCCAGCAGCCGCGGUAAUACGGAGGGUGCAAGCGUUGUCCGGAAUCAUUGGGUGUAAAGGGUGUGUAGGCGGGCCCGCAAGUCAGGGGUGAAAGCCGGCGGCUUAACCGUCGGAUUGCCUUUGAUACUGCGGGUCUUGAAUCCUGGAGGGGCCACUAGAAUUCGUGGUGUAGCGGUGAAAUGCGUAGAUAUCACGAGGAAUACCAGAGGCGUAGGCGGGUGGCUGGACAGGAAUUGACGCUGAGGCACGAAAGCGUGGGGAGCGAACAGGAUUAGAUACCCUGGUAGUCCACGCCGUAAACGAUGAGUGCUAAGUGUUAGAGGGUUUCCGCCCUUUAGUGCUGCAGCAAACGCAUUAAGCACUCCGCCUGGGGAGUACGGCCGCAAGGCUAAAACUCAAAGGAAUUGACGGGGGCCCGCACAAGCGGCGGAGCAUGUUGCUUAAUUCGACGCAACGCGAAGAACCUUACCAAGGUUUGACAUCACCCGUGGACUCGCAGAGAUGUGAGGUCAUUUAGUUGGCGGGUGACAGGUGGUGCAUGGCUGUCGUCAGCUCGUGUCGUGAGAUGUUGGGUUAAGUCCCGCAACGAGCGCAACCCUUGUUCCAUGUUGCCAGCACGUAAUGGUGGGGACUCAUGGGAGACUGCCGGGGUCAACUCGGAGGAAGGUGGGGAUGACGUCAAGUCAUCAUGCCCCUUAUGUCUUGGGCUGCAAACAUGCUACAAUGGCCGGUACAAUGGGCGUGCGAUACCGUAAGGUGGAGCGAAUCCCUAAAAGCCGGUCUCAGUUCGGAUUGGGGUCUGCAACUCGACCCCAUGAAGGUGGAGUCGCUAGUAAUCGCGGAUCAGCAACGCCGCGGUGAAUACGUUCCCGGGCCUUGUACACACCGCCCGUCACGUCAUGAAAGUCGGCAACACCCGAAACUUGCGGCCUAACCCCUUGUGGGAGGGAGUGAGUGAAGGUGGGGCUGGCGAUUGGGACGAAGUCGUAACAA